Molecule: transfer RNA, 71 nt
Filed under: Ovis aries (sheep)
Lineage: Eukaryota; Metazoa; Chordata; Mammalia; Artiodactyla; Bovidae
Rfam family: tRNA
About the family: Transfer RNA (tRNA) molecules are approximately 80 nucleotides in length. Their secondary structure includes four short double-helical elements and three loops (D, anti-codon, and T loops). Further hydrogen bonds mediate the characteristic L-shaped molecular structure. tRNAs have two regions of fundamental functional importance: the anti-codon, which is responsible for specific mRNA codon recognition, and the 3' end, to which the tRNAs corresponding amino acid is attached (by aminoacyl-tRNA synthetases). tRNAs cope with the degeneracy of the genetic code in two manners: having more than one tRNA (with a specific anti-codon) for a particular amino acid; and 'wobble' base-pairing, i.e. permitting non-standard base-pairing at the 3rd anti-codon position.
Source: Rfam by way of RNAcentral
UCCUUGUGACUUAGCUGGUAAAGAAUCUGCUUGUAAUGCAGGAGACCUAGGUUCGAUCCCUGGGUUAGGAA